This 228-nucleotide long non-coding RNA is filed under the name Solanum melongena (eggplant). RNAcentral describes it as "long non-coding RNA (SMEL_LNC000023)". The record is from RNAcentral. Lineage: Eukaryota; Viridiplantae; Streptophyta; Magnoliopsida; Solanales; Solanaceae.
ACACAAACUAGCCGAAAGCCCUAUCUAAGAAAGUGGCUACUAGCUCAAGUGCUGGUGAAAACCUCGCUUUUUAGCGAUAGGAGGGUUUUCCAACUAAGCCGAAGAUAUAAGCCGACGGUCCAGGUACAAGAGAAGACUUUAUAAGCCGCUUACUCGGAACUUGUGCUUUCCUAUCCAUACCGCUUUCCUUCAUAGCAGCAAAGGAGAACGCGAUAUUGAUUCAGUCGG